Molecule: ribosomal RNA, 316 nt
Filed under: Dikerogammarus haemobaphes
Lineage: Eukaryota; Metazoa; Arthropoda; Malacostraca; Amphipoda; Gammaridae
Description: partial 16S ribosomal RNA
Source: RNAcentral
CUGCGGUAUUUUGACCGUGCUAAGGUAGCAUAAUCAAUUGUUUUUUAAUUGAAAACUAGUAUGAACGGUUUAAUUUACUUAAUUAGUUUGUAAUUUUUAAUAGUAAGUUAAAUAUAAAGUAAGAAUUCUUUAAUAAAUUAGGGGACGAUAAGACCCUAAAAGCUUUAUGAUUGGCAUUUAAUUAGUGAUAGCGGUGUUAUUAAUUCACUGGGGCAGUGAGUUUAGGUAUAUUUAAGUAUAAUUAAAAGCUCCUUUAAAUAAAGAUUUCAUGUAUAAGUUACUUUAGGGAUAACAGUGCAAUAUAUUUGGGGAGACC